This 527-nucleotide ribosomal RNA is filed under the name uncultured bacterium. Its description in RNAcentral is "partial 16S ribosomal RNA". It matches the Rfam family "Bacterial small subunit ribosomal RNA", at positions 355 to 874 of the family's 1533-position model. The record is from RNAcentral.
UGGGGAAUUUUGGACAAUGGGCGAAAGCCUGAUCCAGCAAUGCCGCGUGUGUGAAGAAGGCCUUCGGGUUGUAAAGCACUUUUGUCCGGAAAGAAAUCCUUGGCUCUAAUACAGUCGGGGGAUGACGGUACCGGAAGAAUAAGCACCGGCUAACUACGUGCCAGCAGCCGCGGUAAUACGUAGGGUGCAAGCGUUAAUCGGAAUUACUGGGCGUAAAGCGUGCGCAGGCGGUUUGCUAAGACCGAUGUGAAAUCCCCGGGCUCAACCUGGGAACUGCAUUGGUGACUGGCAGGCUAGAGUAUGGCAGAGGGGGGUAGAAUUCCACGUGUAGCAGUGAAAUGCGUAGAGAUGUGGAGGAAUACCGAUGGCGAAGGCAGCCCCCUGGGCCAAAUACUGACGCUCAUGCACGAAAGCGUGGGGAGCAAAACAGGAUUAGAUACCCUGGUAGUCCACGCCCUAAACGAUGUCAACUAGUUGUUGGGGAUUCAUUCCUUAGUAACGUAGCUAACGCGUGAAGUUGACCGCCU